Molecule: unclassified non-coding RNA, 760 nt
Filed under: Hevea brasiliensis (rubber tree)
Lineage: Eukaryota; Viridiplantae; Streptophyta; Magnoliopsida; Malpighiales; Euphorbiaceae
Source: RNAcentral
GGAGUGACAUACGGGAUCACUGAGCCAGUUGAAACGCGCGGCGAGAGAAGGCGCAAAAAAUGGAGAGCUCCGGCGAACUGGUGCCUUUCCCAUUGCUGACAACACCGAUUGAAUCGAAUUAUCGAGCAUGCACGAUCCCUUACAGGUUCCCUUCCGACAAUCCCAAGAAACCAACCCCCACCGAGCUUUCCUGGAUCGACCUCUUUAUGAAUUCCAUCCCUUCGUUUAGGAAGAGGGCUGAGAGCGAUGACAGUGUUCCAGAUGCUCCUAUUCGAGCUGAAAAGUUUGCUCAGAGAUAUUCUGCAAUACUUGAGGAUAUGAAGAAAGAUCCUGAAAGUCAUGGAGGGCCUCCUGAUUGCAUUCUUCUUUGUCGCCUUAGAGAGCAAGUGCUUAGGGAAGUGGGGUUCAGAGAUAUAUUUAAAAAGGUCAAGGAUGAAGAAAAUGCAAAGGCUAUAUCCUUAUUUAAGGAUGUAGUAUCUCUUAAUGAUGCUAUUGAGGAUGAAGCCAAGCGUGUAGAAAAUUUGGUCAGAGGAAUUUUUGCAGGAAAUAUAUUUGAUCUUGGCUCUGCAAAGCUUGCAGAGCUGUUUUCAGAGGAUGGUAUAUCCUUUCUAGCUAGUUUCCAAAACCUUGUCCCUCGACCCUGGGUUAUAGAUGAUUUGGACGUAUUUAUUACAAAAUGGAGCAAAAAAACAUGGAAAAAGGCUGUAAUCUUUGUUGAUAAUUCUGGAGCAGAUGUUAUACUUGGUAUAUUACCAUUUGC